UCCGUAGGCGGUGUGGCAAGCCGGGAGUGAAAUCUCUGGGCUUAACUCAGAGGCUGCUUCCGAAACUGCUGUGCUUGGGUGUGGGAGAGGCGCGUGGAAUUGCAGGUGUAGCGGUGAAAUGCGUAGAUAUCUGCAGGAACACCCGUGGCGAAGGCGGCGCGCUGGACCACAACUGACGCUGAGGGACGAAAGCUAGGGGAGCAAACAGGAUUAGAUACCCUGGUAGUCCUAGCCCUAAACCAUCAGGACUUGGGGUGUCUCGAGUACUCGGGACGUCCCGGAGCUAACGCGUUAAGUCCUGCGCCUGGGGAGUACGGUCGCAAGACUGAA
This 330-nucleotide ribosomal RNA is filed under the name uncultured bacterium. Its description in RNAcentral is "bacterial SSU rRNA". It matches the Rfam family "Bacterial small subunit ribosomal RNA", at positions 568 to 898 of the family's 1533-position model. The record is from RNAcentral.